Molecule: ribosomal RNA, 253 nt
Filed under: uncultured bacterium
Lineage: Bacteria
Description: partial 16S ribosomal RNA
Rfam family: Bacterial small subunit ribosomal RNA
Source: RNAcentral
UACGUAGGGGGCUAGCGUUGUCCGGAAUCAUUGGGCGUAAAGAGCGCGUAGGCGGCCAGAUAAGUCCGGUGUGAAAGUCACAGGCUCAACCUGUGAAUGCCGCUGGAAACUGUCUGGCUAGAGUCCGGAAGGGGCGAGUGGAAUUCCCGGUGUAGCGGUGAAAUGCGCAGAUAUCGGGAGGAACACCGGUGGCGAAGGCGGUUCUCUGGGCCUUACCUGACGCUGAGGAGCGAAAGCGUGGGGAGCGAACAGG